RNAcentral lists this ribosomal RNA (702 nucleotides) under uncultured Eubacteriales bacterium. Its description in RNAcentral is "bacterial SSU rRNA". It matches the Rfam family "Bacterial small subunit ribosomal RNA", at positions 62 to 767 of the family's 1533-position model. Lineage: Bacteria; Bacillati; Bacillota; Clostridia; Eubacteriales. The record is from RNAcentral.
UCGAACGAUGAAACUUAAAUGAUUUCUUCGGAAUGAACUUAAGUGGAUUAGUGGCGGACGGGUGAGUAACGCGUGAGUAACCUGCCUUACACAAGGGGAUAGCCGUUGGAAACGACGAAUAAUACCCUAUGAAACUAUCACUUCGCAUGAAGCGAUAGUCAAAGUGUUAGCGGUGUAAGAUGGACUUGCGUCUGAUUAGCUAGUUGGUGAGAAAAAAGCCCACCAAGGCAACGAUCAGUAGCCGGCUUGAGAGAGUGUACGGCCACAUUGGGACUGAGACACGGCCCAGACUCCUACGGGAGGCAGCAGUGGGGAAUUUUGCACAAUGGGGGAAACCCUGAUGCAGCGACGCCGCGUGAUUUAGAAGGCCUUCGGGUUGUAAAAAUCUUUUGUAUAGGAAGAAAAUGACAGUACUAUACGAAUAAGGUCCGGCUAAUUACGUGCCAGCAGCCGCGGUAAUACGUAAGGACCGAGCGUUGUCCGGAAUCAUUGGGCGUAAAGGGUACGUAGGCGGGUCAUUAAGUUAGAAGUCAAAGGCUAUAGCUCAACUAUAGUAAGCUUCUAAAACUGGCGACCUUGAGUAAUGGAAGGGAAAGUGGAAUUCCUAGUGUAGCGGUGGAAUGCGCAGAUAUUAGGAGGAAUACCGGUGGCGAAGGCGACUUUCUGGCCAUUAACUGACGCUGAGGUGCGAAAGCGUGGGUA